AAGUUCCGACCUGCACGAAUGGCGUAACGACUUGGGCGCUGUCUCAACGAGGAGCUCGGCGAAAUUGUAUUACUCGUAAAGAUGCGAGUUACCCGCAACAGGACGGAAAGACCCCGUGAACCUUUACUGUAGCUAGAUAUUGAAUUUUGGUGCACUUUGUGCAGGAUAGGUGGGAGGCUUUGAAGCCCCAACGUUAGUUGGGGUGGAGCCAUCCUUGAGAUACCACCCUGGGUGUAUUGAAGUUCUAACUUCGUGCAGUUACCCUGGCGAAGAACAGUGUCUGGUGGGCAGUUUGACUGGGGCGGUCGCCUCCCAAAAGGUAACGGAGGCGCCCAAAGGUUCCCUCAGCACGGAUGGCAAUCGUGCGUAGAGUGUAAGGGCAUAAGGGAGCUUAACUGCAAGACAUACAGGUCGAGCAGAGACGAAAGUCGGGCCUAGUGAUCCGGCGGCUCAGUGUGGAAUGGCCGUCGCUCAACGGAUAAAAGGUACUCCGGGGAUAACAGGCUAAUCUUGCCCAAGAGUCCAUAUCGACGGCAAGGUUUGGCACCUCGAUGUCGGCUCAUCGCAUCCUGGGGCUGAAGCAGGUCCCAAGGGUUUGGCUGUUCGCCAAUUAAAGCGGUACGCGAGCUGGGUUUAGAACGUCGUGAGACAGUUCGGUC
RNAcentral lists this ribosomal RNA (659 nucleotides) under Actinomycetota bacterium. RNAcentral's name for it is "partial 23S ribosomal RNA". It matches the Rfam family "Bacterial large subunit ribosomal RNA", at positions 1978 to 2636 of the family's 2925-position model. The record is from RNAcentral. Lineage: Bacteria; Bacillati; Actinomycetota.